Molecule: ribosomal RNA, 2167 nt
Filed under: Nemorilla floralis
Lineage: Eukaryota; Metazoa; Arthropoda; Insecta; Diptera; Tachinidae
Description: eukaryotic LSU rRNA
Rfam family: Eukaryotic large subunit ribosomal RNA
Source: RNAcentral
AGCCUAUUAAUGAGGGGAGGAAAAGAAACUAACAAGGAUUUUCCUAGUAGCGGCGAGCGAAAAGAAAAUAGUUCAGCACUAAGUCACUUUGUCUUUAUGGCAAAUGUGAGAUGCAGUGUAUGGAAUGUCAAAUUUCUAGUAUGAGAAAUUAACGAUUUAAGUCCUUCUUAAAUGAGGCCAUUUACCCAUAGAGGGUGCCAGGCCCGUAUAACGUUAAUGAUUACUAGAUGGCAUUUCCAAAGAGUCGUGUUGCUUGAUAGUGCAGCACUAAGAGGGUGGUAAACUCCAUCUAAAACUAAAUAUAACCAUGAGACCGAUAGUAAACAAGUACCGUGAGGGAAAGUUGAAAAGAACUCUGAAUAGAGAGUUAAAUAGUACGUGAAACUGCUUAGAGGUUAAGCCCGAUGAACCUGAAUAUCCGUUAUAGAAAAUUCAUCAUUAUGAUUUUAGUAUUAUAAAUAUUAAAAUAAUGUUGUGCAUUUUUUCUAUAGAGGACAUUGUAAUCUAUUAACAUAAAAAUUUAAUUUAUCAUAAGAUCAGUAUGCGAAAGUUUAUUCAAAUUAUUUUGCUUGCAAUUUAACAUAGAAUAAAUGCUCUGAUUUGAUAAAGUGUUGAUAGAUUUAUAACAUAUAGUGCUUAAAUAUAUAUAUUUUAUAGUAGCAUAUUAGUUUUUAAUUCUUAUGUUUACUAUAUGCACUUAUAUGAUUAACAAUGCGAAAGAUUCAGGAAACCUUCGGGACCCGUCUUGAAACACGGACCAAGGAGUCUAACAUAUUUGCAAGUUAUUGGGAAUAAAAACCUAAUAGCAUAAUUAACAUAACUUAAUAAUGGGAUUAGUUUUUAGCCUAUUUAUAGUCUAUUAAUUCAAUCCCGGGGCGUUCUAUAUGGUUAUGUAUAAUAAUAUUUAUAUUAUUUAUACCUCUAACUAGAACGUACCUUGAGCAUAUAUGCUGUGACCCGAAAGAUGGUGAACUAUACUUGAUCAGGUUGAAGUCAGGGGAAACCCUGAUGGAAGACCGAAACAGUUCUGACGUGCAAAUCGAUUGUCAGAAUUGAGUAUAGGGGCGAAAGACCAAUCGAACCAUCUAGUAGCUGGUUCCCUCCGAAGUUUCCCUCAGGAUAGCUGGUGCAUUUAAAAAUUGUGUAAAAUAAUCUUAUCUGGUAAAGCGAAUGAUUAGAGGCCUUAGGGUCGAAACGAUCUUAACCUAUUCUCAAACUUUAAAUGGGUAAGAACCUCACCUUUCUUGGUAUGAAGGUUGUGGUUGUGAUAUAAUGUGCCCAGUGGGCCACUUUUGGUAAGCAGAACUGGCGCUGUGGGAUGAACCAAACGUAAUGUUACGGUGCCCAAAUUAACAACUCAUGCAGAUACCAUGAAAGGCGUUGGUUGCUUAAAACAGCAGGACGGUGGACAUGGAAGUCGUAAUCCGCUAAGGAGUGUGUAACAACUCACCUGCCGAAGCAACUAGCCCUUAAAAUGGAUGGCGCUUAAGUUGUAUACCUAUACAUUACCGCUAAAGUAGAUGGUUUAUGUUCAAUCUCGGUUGGAUUAUAAAUUUUGAAACUUUAGUGAGUAGGAGGGUACUAUGGUGUGCAUAGAAGUGUUUGGCGUAAGCCUGCAUGGAGCUGCCAUUGGUACAGAUCUUGGUGGUAGUAGCAAAUAAUCGAAUGAGACCUUGGAGGACUGAAGUGGAGAAGGGUUUCGUGUGAACAGUGGUUGAUCACGAGUUAGUCGGUCCUAAGUUUAAGGCGAAAGCCGAAAAUUUUCAAGUUAUAAUGAAAGGUAAAUUUAUUUACAUAGUAAUUAAACACUUGAAUAAUUUUGAACGAAAGGGAAUACGGUUCCAAUUCCGUAACCUGUUGAGUAUCCGUUUGUUAUUAAAUAUGGGCCUUGUGCUCAUCCUGGCAACAGGAACGACCAUAAAGAAGCCGUCGAGAGGUAUCGGAAGAGUUUUCUUUUCUGUUUUAUAGUCGUACCACCAUGGAAGUCUUUCGAAGAGAGAUAUGGUAGAUGGACUAGAAGAGCAUGACAUUUACUGUUGUGUCGAUAUUUUCUCCUCGGACCUUGAAAAUUUAUGGUGGGGUCACGCAAACUUCUCAACAGGCCGUACCAAUAUCCGCAGCUGGUCUCCAAGGUGAAGAGUCUCUAGUCGAUAGAAUAAUGUAGGUA